ACUCCUACGGGAGGCAGCAGUGGGGAAUAUUGCACAAUGGGGGAAACCCUGAUGCACCAGCCUGCGUGUGAGAGCAAUGGGCUUGGUUAAAACGCUUUCAGUAGGGAGGAAGGUAGUGUAGUUAACACCUGCAUUAUUUGACGUUACCUACAGAAGAAGCACCGGCUAACUCCGUGCCAGCAUCCGCGGUAAUACGGAGGGUGCGAGCGUUAAUCGGAAUUACUGGGCGUAAAGCGCAUGCAGGCGGCUUGUUAAGUCAGAUGUGAAAGCCCGGGGCUUAACCUCGGAAUUGCAUUUGAAACUGGCAGGCUAGAGUCUUGUAGAGGGGGGUAGAAUUUCAGGUGUAGCGGUGAAAUGCGUAGAGAUCUGAAGGAAUACCAGUGGCGAAGGNGGCCCCCUGGACAAAGACUGACGCUCAGAUGCGAAAAGCGUGGGGAGCAAACAGGAUUAGAUACCCUGGUAGGAUAG
Molecule: ribosomal RNA, 468 nt
Filed under: uncultured bacterium
Lineage: Bacteria
Description: bacterial SSU rRNA
Rfam family: Bacterial small subunit ribosomal RNA
Source: RNAcentral